Molecule: non-coding RNA, 30 nt
Filed under: Mus musculus (house mouse)
Lineage: Eukaryota; Metazoa; Chordata; Mammalia; Rodentia; Muridae
Source: RNAcentral
UGUGUGGCUCCAAACAGCAAAGCAGCAGGU